RNAcentral lists this ribosomal RNA (179 nucleotides) under uncultured Chlorophyta. RNAcentral describes it as "partial 18S ribosomal RNA". The record is from RNAcentral. Lineage: Eukaryota; Viridiplantae; Chlorophyta.
UGGCCUAUCUUGUUGGUCUGUAGGACCGGAGUAAUGAUUAAGAGGGACAGUCGGGGGCAUUCGUAUUUCAUUGUCAGACGUGAAAUUCUUGGAUUUAUGAAAGAAAACUACUCCUCAACCAUUUGCCAAUAAUAUUUUAAUUUAUCGAUCACGGAAAUACCUGCCUCGAAAACAAUUCC